Molecule: ribosomal RNA, 490 nt
Filed under: uncultured bacterium
Lineage: Bacteria
Description: partial 16S ribosomal RNA
Rfam family: Bacterial small subunit ribosomal RNA
Source: RNAcentral
AUUGAACGCUGGCGGCAGGCCUAACACAUGCAAGCCGAACGGUAACAGGAAGAAGCUUGCUUCUUUGCUGACGAGUGGCGGACGGGUGAGUAAUGUCUGGGAAACUGCCUGGUGGAGGGGGAUAACUACUGGAAACGGUAGCUAAUACCGCAUAACGUCGCAAGACCAAAGAGGGGGACCUUCGGGCCUCUUGCCAUCGGAUGUGCCCAGAUGGGAUUAGCUAGUAGGUGGGGUAACGGCUCACCUAGGCGACGAUCCCUAGCUGGUCUGAGAGGAUGGCCAGCCACACUGGAACUGAGACACGGUCCAGACUCCUACGGGAGGCAGCAGUGGGGAAUAUUGCACAAUGGGCGCAAGCCUGAUGCAGCCAUGCCGCGUGUAUGAAGAAGGCCUUCGGGUUGUAAAGUACUUUCAGCGGGGAGGAAGGGAGUAAAGUUAAUACCUUUGCUCAUUGACGUUACCCGCAGAAGAAGCACCGGCUAACUCCGUG